This 420-nucleotide ribosomal RNA is filed under the name uncultured bacterium. RNAcentral's name for it is "bacterial SSU rRNA". It matches the Rfam family "Bacterial small subunit ribosomal RNA", at positions 355 to 774 of the family's 1533-position model. The record is from RNAcentral.
UAAGGAAUAUUGCUCAAUGGGAGAAAUCCUGAAGCAGCAACGCCGCGUGGAGGAUGAAGGGUCUAUGGCUUGUAAACUCCUGUAAAGAAGGAAAAAAUUCCCAUUUGAUGGGAGAUGAUGGUACUUCUGGAGUAAGCCCCGGCUAACUACGUGCCAGCAGCCGCGGUAAUACGUAGGGGGCAAGCGUUGUCCGGAUUUACUGGGUGUAAAGGGUGCUCAGGCGGAUUUGUAAGUCAGAGGUGAAAUCUUACAGCUUAACUGUGAAACUGCCUUUGAUACUGCAAGCCUAGAGUAUGGAAGAGAGUGAUGGAAUAUCUGGUGUAGCAGUGAAAUGCGUAGAUAUCAGAUAGAACACCAAUGGCGAAGGCAGUCACUUGGUCCAUUACUGACGCUAAAGCACGAAAGCGUGGGUAGCAAACA